RNAcentral lists this ribosomal RNA (535 nucleotides) under uncultured bacterium. RNAcentral describes it as "bacterial SSU rRNA". It matches the Rfam family "Bacterial small subunit ribosomal RNA", at positions 51 to 573 of the family's 1533-position model. The record is from RNAcentral.
ACACAUGCAAGUCGAGGGGAAACGACAUCGAAAGCUUGCUUUUGAUGGGCGUCGACCGGCGCACGGGUGAGUAACGCGUAUCCAACCUGCCCACCACUUGGGGAUAACCUUGCGAAAGUAAGACUAAUACCCAAUGACGUCUCUAGAAGACAUCUGAAAGGGAUUAAAGAUUUAUCGGUGAUGGAUGGGGAUGCGUCUGAUUAGCUUGUUGGCGGGGUAACGGCCCACCAAGGCUACGAUCAGUAGGGGUUCUGAGAGGAAGGUCCCCCACAUUGGAACUGAGACACGGUCCAAACUCCUACGGGAGGCAGCAGUGAGGAAUAUUGGUCAAUGGACGAGAGUCUGAACCAGCCAAGUAGCGUGCAGGAUGACGGCCCUAUGGGUUGUAAACUGCUUUUAUAAGGGAAUAAAGUGAGCCUCGUGAGGCUUUUUGCAUGUACCUUAUGAAUAAGGACCGGCUAAUUCCGUGCCAGCAGCCGCGGUAAUACGGAAGGUCCGGGCGUCAUCCGGAUUUAUUGGGUUUAAAGGGAGCGUA